GUACUCAUUUUUGCAGCACAUAUACUAAAAUUAGAAUUAUAUAGUGAAUACGAAUGGUCCAUGUACAAGGAUGACAUGAAAAUUAAUAAAGCAUUCCAUAUUUU
Molecule: small nuclear RNA, 104 nt
Filed under: Mus pahari (shrew mouse)
Lineage: Eukaryota; Metazoa; Chordata; Mammalia; Rodentia; Muridae
Source: RNAcentral